This 499-nucleotide ribosomal RNA is filed under the name uncultured bacterium. RNAcentral describes it as "bacterial SSU rRNA". It matches the Rfam family "Bacterial small subunit ribosomal RNA", at positions 62 to 561 of the family's 1533-position model. The record is from RNAcentral.
UCGAGCGAGCAUAUUAGCGGAAGUUUUCGGAUGGAAGCGGAUAUGACUUAGCGGCGGACGGGUGAGUAACGCGUGGAUAACCUGCCUCAUACAGGGGGAUAACAGUUAGAAAUGACUGCUAAUACCGCAUAAGCGCACAGGACCGCAUGGUCCGGUGUGAAAAACUCCGGUGGUAUGGGAUGGAUCCGCGUCUGAUUAGCUGGUUGGUGAGGUAACGGCCCACCAAGGCGACGAUCAGUAGCCGACCUGAGAGGGUGGCCGGCCACAUUGGGACUGAGACACGGCCCAAACUCCUACGGGAGGCAGCAGUGGGGAAUAUUGCACAAUGGGGGAAACCCUGAUGCAGCAACGCCGCGUGAGUGAAGAAGUAUUUCGGUAUGUAAAGCUCUAUCAGCAGGGAAGAAGAAAGACGGUACCUGACUAAGAAGCCCCGGCUAACUACGUGCCAUCAGCCGCGGUAAUACGUAGGGGGCAAGCGUUAUCCGGAUUUACUGGGUGU